CAUGCAAACACGUGUGUUUAUCUGAUUGCUGAGACAGCGCUCAGACUUGGCGUGCUGCCUCUUACAGAUCUCCGAAGAGUUAGCCUCACAGAAACCUCUGGGAUUAAAGAAUAACAGUUGCAUUUUGGUCUCAUUGUGGGAAGAGCGACAGAACAAAACCUAGAUUGUUAUCUGGAAGAGAAUCACAUUCAUGUACGAAGAGAAUAACUUAUCAGAAAUGGGAAACGGCUCAGGGAAUCCAGAGGCUCAACUGUUCCCAUAUGCGCUCAGCUUCUGAGUCAUUCUGGUUCUCAGGAAAUGGGCAAAUCUCUUUUUCACAGCAAUUUUCAGAGCCAUUUGGGGGUGUCUGGGAGGCCAAAAGCUACUCUGAGCAUGCAUGGGGAGGUCAUGUUACAGAGAAGGAGAAACGUUAGCUUUCAAUGGGA
RNAcentral lists this long non-coding RNA (425 nucleotides) under Equus caballus (horse). RNAcentral's name for it is "lncRNA (ENSECAG00000028429.3)". Lineage: Eukaryota; Metazoa; Chordata; Mammalia; Perissodactyla; Equidae. The record is from RNAcentral.